This 253-nucleotide ribosomal RNA is filed under the name uncultured bacterium. RNAcentral describes it as "partial 16S ribosomal RNA". It matches the Rfam family "Bacterial small subunit ribosomal RNA", at positions 524 to 776 of the family's 1533-position model. The record is from RNAcentral.
UACGUAGGGGGCAAGCGUUAUCCGGAUUUACUGGGUGUAAAGGGAGCGUAGGCGGUUUAGCAAGUCAGAAGUGAAAGCCCGCAGCUCAACUGGGGGACUGCUUUUGAAACUGUUAAACUAGAUUGCAGGAGAGGUAAGUGGAAUUCCUAGUGUAGCGGUGAAAUGCGUAGAUAUUAGGAGGAACACCAGUGGCGAAGGCGGCUUUCUGGACUGAAACUGACGCUGAGGCUCGAAAGCGUGGGGAGCAAACAGG